Molecule: long non-coding RNA, 1228 nt
Filed under: Fukomys damarensis (Damara mole-rat)
Lineage: Eukaryota; Metazoa; Chordata; Mammalia; Rodentia; Bathyergidae
Description: lncRNA (ENSFDAG00000024197.1)
Source: RNAcentral
UGGGAAUCUCGAUGGUGAAUUUCACCUAUCUUAGCAAGCACAGUGAAUUUCAAAACUUUAUGACAGGCCGGACGUGGUGGCGCACGCCUGUAAUCCCAGCACUUGGGAGGCUGAGGCAGGAGGAUCGAUGCGCGUUCAAGACCAGCCUGGGCUAUAUAGUCUGAACUAGUGAGACUCUGUCUCAAAAAACAAACAAAACAAAAACUUUAUGACAGGUAACUUGCAUUAAUUCCAUUAUACAGUUUCGUAUAUCUCUUAACCUGUUCAGGCUUCUUUCAUUCUUGCAUCAACUCUGAACUGACCAACAUUAUUCAUCCCACGGUACAGAUGAAGAAGAAAACCUGGGUUUGAGUCACAUCUGAAAAGUGCUAGAGCCAGAAAUGAACACUUGCUUCUGGGCAUUGUUGCUUCUCCCAAGUUUGGCAUCAGUGAGAGAGGUUUCAAGUGAAAGACAGCCGUCUCUUGAAUUCCUAAAGCCACCCUUACCCUAUGUGACUUGCACAAAUCUACAGGUUUCCAGGCCAGAAGCUUCCACCUUCACUCGUUCCGUCUCCCAUCUCUGCAGCACAGGAUGCCUGACUGUAGAAUCGUUCCUUUAUGACUACAGCCACCUGGGUGGAAGGAGGAUGACUUGGAGAGAUAAAAUAGAGAACUGGUGUCUUACAGGCACACCACUGCCUUUUCUGGUGCAGCCCUUGGAGAGAUGAGUGGAGCUGAUCUUUCUCAGGGAAAGUAUAAUUCAUAUGCCUGGCUUUGCAUCGUCCUUAACUCUUGAUCCUCAGAAUGGAACCAUCACUCAAACCCCACAUGGAAUCUGAUCAGUAAGGAAUAGAGCCCUUCCUCAUUGAGUGUAUCCGAUGACUUUAACCUGAACAAGUGACAUAGGCUCAUACACAGGUUGCAGUCUACCCAGAUUGAUAGCAACACUGGAAGAGAAACGGUCCAGGUGUGAUGGGUGCCCAUUAGUAACAUUCUCGUGGAGAAAAGCACAAAGUCCUAUUUAUCAAAGCUAAAUACUAUGACUCUGCUUGCCUUUUGCUGCAGUCCAAGUCAGGAUAGGGUUAUCAAAGCCCAAGCAGUUCAAUUCAGGGAAGCAGGUGAACCAGACACAUCCACCCGGCCUGUCCUUGGCCUCCCACUUACUGCGGUAUAAAAUACAUCUUCGCAAAGUGUCUGACUUCACCAUCCAUCCCUCCCCAAAUAUUUACAUAAAUCAAAUAUAUUUCCU